Molecule: ribosomal RNA, 626 nt
Filed under: uncultured fungus
Lineage: Eukaryota; Fungi
Description: eukaryotic LSU rRNA
Rfam family: 5.8S ribosomal RNA (bases 201-354)
Source: RNAcentral
UGCGGAAGGAUCAUUAACGAUUUGAGGAGUUUCAGUGCUGGUCUCUCGGGACAUGUGCACGAUUCUCCAAUAAUUAAAUCUUCACCCCUGUGCACACAUAGUAGGGCUCGAAAGGGCCCUAUGUAUUUUACAAACCAUUUGUAUGUCAUUAGAAUGUCAUUUUAUCAAGUAUGCUCGCGAGAGCAGAAAGAAACAAAUACAACUUUCAACAACGGAUCUCUUGGUUCUCCCAUCGAUGAAGAACGCAGCGAAAUGCGAUAAGUAAUGUGAAUUGCAGAAUUCAGUGAAUCAUCGAAUCUUUGAACGCACCUUGCGCCCUUUGGUAUUCCGAAGGGCAUGCCUGUUUGAGUAUCAUUAAAUUCUCAACUAAACAAUGGUUUAUUCUAUUGGUUAGCUUGGAUCUGAGGGUUUUGUCGGUCCCUAGUUGGUCGACUCCCUUUAAAAGCAUUAGCGGAUUUUACCAUCGUGGAUACGCCUCGAUUUGAUAAUAUCUAUGUCGUCGCGCUGAAGCGGUAAUCUGCUCAUAACCGUCCUAAUUGCUGGACAAUUUAUUGAUUAUUUGAUUCUCAAAUCAAGUAAGACUACCUCGCUGAACUUAAGCAUAAUCAAUAAGCGGAGGAAAAGAA